AAUAGAUACCCCGGUAGUCCACGCCCUAAACGAUGCUCACUAGGUGUUGGGGAAGCGAUUCCUUGGUACCGUAGCUAACGCGUGAAGUGAGCCGCCUGGGGAGUACGGCCGCAAGGUUAAAACUCAAAGGAAUUGACGGGGACCCGCACAAGCGGUGGAUGAUGUGGAUUAAUUCGAUGCAACGCGAACAACCUUACCUACCCUUGACAUGUCCGGAAGCCUGCUGAAAGGCGGGGGUGCUCGAAAGAGAACCGGAACACAGGUGCUGCAUGGCUGUCGUCAGCUCGUGUCGUGAGAUGUUGGGUUAAGUCCCGCAACGAGCGCAACCCUUGUCCCUAGUUGCUACGCAAGGGCACUCUAGGGAGACUGCCGGUGACAAACCGGAGGAAGGUGGGGAUGACGUCAAGUCCUCAUGGCCCUUAUGGGUAGGGCUUCACACGUCAUACAAUGGACGGUACAGAGGGUUGCCAACCCGCGAGGGGGAGCCAAUCCCAGAAAGCCGUUCGUAGUCCGGAUCGCAGUCUGCAACUCGACUGCGUGAAGUCGG
This 547-nucleotide ribosomal RNA is filed under the name uncultured bacterium. Its description in RNAcentral is "bacterial SSU rRNA". It matches the Rfam family "Bacterial small subunit ribosomal RNA", at positions 777 to 1329 of the family's 1533-position model. The record is from RNAcentral.